Molecule: long non-coding RNA, 678 nt
Filed under: Scleropages formosus (Asian bonytongue)
Lineage: Eukaryota; Metazoa; Chordata; Actinopteri; Osteoglossiformes; Osteoglossidae
Description: lncRNA (ENSSFOG00015030877.1)
Source: RNAcentral
GUUUUAUAUGCAGAGAAAAGCAACAAAGGCCCAGCAUAGCAACAGCCCCCCGGCAACACUGCAGGCAUGCUAACAGUUCCCAGUUGCACCCCAUGGAGUGCCUUGGACCAUCUAUACAUGCCGCUCUUCCGCCCUCGCCUUCUCUGAACUUCCCCAAGGUAGCCUCUUUGCCACCGGGAUGCAAGGGGCACGCAGCACCUUUCCUCUUUUGGACCAUAGUAACUUCUGACACAAAGGCAAAGUCCAGAGAAACCAUGACUGAGCGAUGGCACUUUGCCGCCAGUGCCAGAAACACAGGGGCCUAGUGAAGGACUUCGGCAACAGAACCAGGGAAAAGGAGAGGCAGCCUCACCCUUAAAUGGAAAGGAUCGGGACGGUCUUGAGGUACAGUAGUCGGAUCCUGCGACCGAAAGGCCAGUAAAGCAGAGAUGGGCUGUGUGAAAGCUUUGAGUUUGACACGUGGCAUCUCUGCUUUGUGGUGGACCAAGGGAAGGCAAACUUGUUCAAUAAGGAGACAGUUAACGUGAGGAUUCUGGAGAACCGCUGUUCUGGCACACGUGCGACUCCUGGCAGCGGGACUCUUGUAGGUCUCAUUUGCUCAGGCUGCCAAGUUUGCGGUGGGGGUUGCAGUUUGGCUCCCUGGGUGUGAUUCUCAGUACCAUUUGGAUGGGUUUACCA